Molecule: long non-coding RNA, 4613 nt
Filed under: Homo sapiens (human)
Lineage: Eukaryota; Metazoa; Chordata; Mammalia; Primates; Hominidae
Description: HSALNT0074170
Source: RNAcentral
UGCAGCUAUUGUAAAAUGGGUUGAGUUCUUGAUUUGAUUCUGAGCUUGGUCGCUGUUGGUGUAUAGCAGUGCUACCAAUUUGUGUACAUUGAUUUUGUAUCCUGAAACUUUACUUAAUUUGUUUAUCAGGUCUAGGAGCUUUUUGGAUGAGUCUUUAGGGUUUUCUAGGUAUAUGAUCAUAUCAUCAGCAAAAAGUGACAGAUUGACUUCCUCUUUGCUGAUUUGGAUGCCUUUAUUUCUUUCUCUUUUCUGAUUGCUCUGGCUAGGACUUCCCAUCCUCUGUAGAAUAGAAGUGGUGAGAGUGGGCAUCCUUGUCUUCCUCCAGUUCUCAGGGGAAAUACUUUCAACUUUUCCCCAAUCAGUAUAACAUGGCUAUACGUUUGUCAUAGAUGACUUUUAUUACCUUAAGGUAUGUCCCUUCUAUGUCAGUUUUGCUGUGGGUUUUAAUCAUAAAGGAAUGCUGGAUUUUGUCAAAUGCUUUUUAUUUUUCUGUUGAGAUGAUCUUACGAUUUUUGUUUUUAAUUGUGUUUAUGUGAUGUAUCACAUUUAUUGACUUGCAGAUGUUAAACCAUCCCUGCAUCCCUGGUAUGAAACCCACUUGAUCAUGGUGGAUUAUCUUUUUGAUAUGCUGUUGGAUUUGGUUAGCUUGUAUUUUGUUGAGAAUUUUUGCAUCUAUGUUUGUCAGGAAUAUCGGUCUGUAGUUUUUUGGUUGUUGUUGUUAUGUUCUUUUCUGGUUUUGGUAUUAGCGUGAUACUGGCUUCAUAGAAUGAUUCAGGGAGGCUUUCCUCUUUCUCUGGCUUUUGGAAUAGUUUCAAUAGGAUUUGUACCAAUUCUUCUUUAAAUGUCUGAUGGAAAUCAGCUGUGAUUCCAUCUGUUCCUGGACUUUUUUUUUUGUUGUUGGCAAUGUUUUUUUGUAACCAUUUUAAUCUUGCUGCUUGUUGUUUGUCUGUUCAGAGUAUUUCUUCCUGGUUUAAUCUUGGAGGUUUGCAUAUUUCCAGGAAUUUAUCCAUCUCCUCUAGGUUUUCUAGUUUGUGUGUGUAAAGGUAUUCAUAGAAGACUUGAAUGAUCUUUUGUAUUUCUGUGUUAUUGGAUUUAAUAUAUCCCGUUAUGUUUCUGGUUGAGCUUAUUUGGAUCUCCUCCCAUUUUUUCUUGGUUAUUCUUGCUAAUGGUCUAUCAAUUUUGUUUAUAUUUUCAAAGAAUCAGCUUUUUGUUUUAUUUAUCUUUUGUAUUUUUUUGUUUCAAUUUCAUUUAGUUCUGCUCUGAUCUUUGUUAUUUCUUUUUUUUUUUUUUUUUUCUGCUGGGUUUGGGUUUGGUUUGAUCUUAUUUCUCUGGUUCCUUGAAGUGUGACCUUAGACUAUCUAUAUGUGUUCUUUCAGACUUUUUGAUGUAGGCAUUUAAUGCUAUGAACCUUCCUUUUAACAUCGCUUUUGCUGUAUCACAGAAGUUUUCAUAGGUUGUGUUAUUGCUAUCAUUCAGUUCAAGUAAUUUUGAAAUUUCCAUUAUAAUUUCAUUGUUUACCAAAAUAUAAUUCAGGAGCAGAUUAUUUUAUUUCAAUGUAUUUGCAUGGUUUGAGGAUUCCUUUUGGAGUUGAUUUUUAAUUUUAUUCCACUGUGGUCUGAGAGCAUAUUAAUAUAAUUUUGAUUUUCUUAAAUUUAUUGAGGCUUGUUUUGUGCCUAUCAUAUGAUCUACCUUGGAGAAUGUUCCAUGUGCUGAUGAAUAGAACAUAUAUUCUGCAGUUGUUUGGUAGAAUGUUCUGAAUAUAUCUGCUAAGUCCAUUUGUUCUAGGGCAUAGUUUAAGUCCAUUGUCUGACUUGUUUUUGAUGACCUGUCUAGUGCUGUCAGUGGAGUAUUGAAGUCACCCACUAUUAUUGUGUUGCCUCUUAUCUCAUUUCUUAAUUCUAGGAGUAAUUGUUUUGUAAAUUUAAAGCUCCAGUUUUAGGUGCAUAUGUAUUGAGGAUUGUAAUAUUUUCCUGUUGGACUAGUCCUUUUAUUAUUCUAUAAUGUCCCUCUUUGUCUUUUUAAAUUGUUGUUGCUUUAAAGUUGGUUUUGUCUGAUAAACGAAUAGCUACUUCUGCUUGUUUUUGGUGUCCAUUUGCAUGGAAUAUCUUUUUCCAUCCAUUUACCUUACAUUUAUAUGGGUCUGUAUGUGUUAGGUGAGUCUCUUGAAGACGCAGAUACUUGACUGGUGAAUUCUUAUCCAUUCUGUCAUUUUGUAUCUUUUAAGUGGAGCAUUUAGGCCUUUUACAUUCGAUGUUAUUAUUGAGAUGUGAGGUACUGUUCUAUUCAUCCUGCUAGUUGUUGCCUGACUACCUUGUUUUUUUUUUUGUUUGUUUGUUUUUGUUUGUUUUUUAUUGCUGGUGAGCUUGUGUGAUCAUUUGGGGUGUCAAUGAAUCUUGCUUUGUCAUAUCAUCAGAAUUGUUUUUCUGGUUCCUUCUCAUUUGGGUAGACUAUUUCAGAGGAAAGAUCUGGGACUCAAGGGCUGCUAAUCUGAUUUUUUUUUCCUAUGGGGUGAUCCCUUGAUGUGGUGUUCUUUUUCUUCCCCUAGAAAUGGAGCUUCCUGAGAAUAAAACUGCAGUGAUUGUUAUUGUUCUUCUGUGUCUAGUCCCCCAGUGGAGCUACUGGGCUCUGGGCUGGUAUUGGGGAGUGUCUGCAAAGAUUUCUGUGAUGUGAUCCUGUGAAGACCUGUCUUCAGGUCUCUCAGCUGUGGAUGCCAGUACCUGCCCCAGUGGAGGUAGCAGGGAAGCAAAGUGGACUCUGUGAGAGUGCUGGUUGUAGUUUGUUUAGUGUGCAGAUUUUCUCGAAUGCUGGUUUGCUAGCAGUGAAGCUGUCAUGUGGACAGACUCAGGACCUCUGGUUAGCCAGGGUGUUACAGGUGGUGUUUUCUCCUUUCUUGGAGUAGGAUUGUUCUAAGUUGCUGUAAUGGCUUGAGUUGGUUGACUUCCAGCCAGGAGGUGGCACUUUUAAGAGAGCAUCAGCUGCGGUAGUAGAAGGGGGAUACAGGCUUGCCCUAAGUUGGCCAGGGUAAAUAUUCAGUCGUCUCAGGUAAUAGGUGAGGCCAUAGAGCUCCCACAAGUUUAUAUCUUUUGUCUCUGGUUACCAGGAAGGGUAGAGAAAACCAUCAGGUGGGGGCAGGGUUAGGCAGGUCUCAGCCUAGACUCUCCUUGGGCUUGCAGUGGCCACUUUGAGGGAUAUGGGGUGUGUCUCAGGCCAAUGGAGUUAUGUUCCAUGGGAGAUUAUGGCUGCCUCUGCUGCUUCCUACAGGUUGCCAGGUAAGUGGUGGAAAGCCAUCAGUGACAGGCCUUACCCAGCUCCCAUGAAACCAGCAAGGCCAGUCUCAUUCCUGCCAUACUCCCCCAGCAGCCAACAGUGCCCAAUUUAUACCCAGGCCUCUGGUGCACAGGGCUGAGAUCCUGCCCCAGGCUACAAGACUCCCUGCUGAGAGAGCAAGCAUGGCUUUCAGUCCUCACCCUUCCCUUCCUGUUGCGGCUUCUGUGCUCCUAUCUGUACUUCCCGUUCCCCACACCCCAACCCCCUGGACUCUGCCCAGGAAAAUUUGUCGUCUUUGGAAAUUAUUACAAAGUUCAGCUGGAAGUCUCCUUCUCCCUGUGGACCUUCCCCAAUUCCACUGGCUGCCCUCCUCAAGGACCCCUGUUCUCCAGGGCCGAUGUAUGUUUGGAGAUGGAUUUCCCCCUCUCACACUUCAGGCACUCAGUUUUUUGGCAGUCUCAUGGAGUUUUCAGUGGCAAGCCGCUUAUUUCAAAUGGGAUUUGGAAAGGAUUCCGUGAUGGUUAAUAUUGAGUGUCAACUUGAUUGGAUUGAAGGAUGCAAAGUAUUGUUCCUGGGUGUGUCUGUGAGGGUGUCACCAAAGGAGAUGAACAUUUGAAUCAGUGAGCUGGGAGACACAAACCCAUACUCAAUCUUGGGGGACACCAUCUAAUCAGCUGCCAGUGCAACUAGGAUAAAAUCAGGCAGAGAAAUUUGGAAAGACUAGACUGGCUGAGUCUUCUGGCCUUCAUCUUUCUCCCAUGCUAGAUGCUUCCUGACCUCGAAUAUCAGACUCCAAGUUCUUUAGCUUUUGGACUCUUGGACCUUUGGCCACAGACGGAAGGCUGCACUUUUGAAGUUUUGGGACUUGGACUGGCUUCCUUGCUCCUCAGCUUACAGAUGGCCUAUUGUGGGACUUCACCUUGUGAUUGUGAUUUCAAACCUUCUGGGUUUCUUCCCAGCGCUAAAUCCUGUCGACUGGAUUCACUAGGAUGAAUAGAGAAAGAAGUGUUACAUUUUAAGAUAAUUUCUUUUCUAAACACACAGAAAGUUUUGAAACCAAUGGAGAGAUCAACACAAGCUUUGGAGAGGAGAUCAAAAUAUCUGCUUCACUGGAAGGAGUUUUGGAUUGCUCAACAAGAUCGUGGUCACCAGAUGGCUGUUGCCCUUCCAGGCUUCCAGCUCCUGUGUUCCAGACUGAAGAAGAGGAACAGAAAAAGGUGCUACUUGAAGGGGCACCAAAAAAUCAUGAGCCCAGGACAGGACAGAGGUGGAACUUAUUCUCCAGGUGCUCUACUUUGAAGUCAAGGACAUCUUACCAUCAUCCUGGAGAGCUGGAUCCUCCCAGA